Long non-coding RNA from Marmota flaviventris (yellow-bellied marmot), 3090 nucleotides. RefSeq lists it as uncharacterized. The record is from RefSeq and is a predicted model, not a curated record. NCBI's taxonomy places the organism in Eukaryota, Metazoa, Chordata, Mammalia, Rodentia, Sciuridae.
ACUCUGAUGGAGGUCUUGAAUAUACUUUCACAGAAAUGACAGCAAAAACUGUAGUCAUUCGGGAAGAAACACGUUUCGAAGAAAAAUACCCCAAGGACUAGCAACAAGAGGGAUUCUGAGGAGUGAUGCUGCACAGAACAGAACUCUUCAGCCACCUUCCAGAGAACUCAAAACAGCAAACCAGAGAGUCGUGGACAAUCACCCAGCUCCAUCUAACUAUAAACUAUUGGUGUCACUGGCUGUGAUCGAUGUAUGACAAGAGGAAAAAGCAGAGAAACCUCAGUGACCUUAGUGGAAUAAAGAGCAUGUAACAGGACAUCAUCAUUCUUUGAUACCAAGUCCCCUGUCAACCCCCACAUUUUGAUACAACACAAGGAUACACCUUGACAAAAUCACAAAAGCAUGGAACCUAACCCAUUCCAAUUCAGUCCCCAGCACUUUCCCCACUCCUUUCUCCUCUCUCUGAACACUGAAUAAAAAGACAUGUCAGGGCCAACAGGAGAUUCAUAAAUGUACAAGCCUGGAAGUCUGUGACUAAACCCUAAAUGCGUUGCUUUCUGACUCACUUUUCCAGUCUUGAAGCAAGGGGGCUGAAACUUCAGAAAAGACUCUUAUUGCUGAACAUGAAGUGGAGAAUCCAGACCUGCAAAGAUGAAGGGCCAGCUGGGAAACACAGGCAUUCUCCAGUUCCUCCUGGCUGAGACCAUGAAGUGGGCUUGUGUGAAUGUUGACAUUUUUGACUUUUGGUUUUCUUUGAUGUGCCACAGGAAAGUAAAUACUCCACAGAUUUUUUUUUUUUUUUUAUGAAACUGGGAAAUGUUGGAUAUGACUAAAAACAUCAGUUGAGUUUGAGAUUUGCAACUUCUUCCAUCUUCAUCACUGGUCUUAAUGACUUUUCUUCAGGUUCACGUGUGAUUUACAAUGUUUUUCAAGCUGAUCCCUAGAGAUUUCUCCAAUAUGCUUCCAGAGUCUGCCCAGAGGGCCAAGCACAUACUUUUCCCCUUUUAUUGCCAGCUAUGUAACUAUAACCGCUUUCAUGUUUUACACAAUAAUUUCUGUUUAAGAUUGGAGUUAAAAAGAGUUCUACUGCACAUCUCAUCCAGGUUUUGAAAGACUUUCAAUUUUAGGAGUUACAGCUCUAUAUAAACAGCUCUAACAUUCCACCAAAUUUAUUUAGUGACUUUAUACAAUAGCACUGUUUAUGCAGUAGAAAUUUUUCUCUUAUAAAGUAAAGAUGUGCUUUAUUCCUUGCAGGAUUAAUGUGAUGGUGAAUAAGACAAAGGCUAAAGUUACUCAUAUAAAAACUGCAUAUUAAGAGCUAUCAUCACACAUCAGAAGACUCAAUGUUAGACUGUGGUUUCAGGGUGUUAGGAUAUUUGAACUCUGCUUAGCUAACUAAUCUACCCCUUUGAUAAGACUGGUUAUAUUUUUUUCUGUAUGAGAAGAGGUAAAGAAAUAGGUAUCCCUUGUCUAUUCAUUCAUUCACAUUAAAAUAAAUUACUCAGUUAUGGUGAGAACAGAUUAGGUAGGAAAAGACCAGCAAUGGGGAGACCAGUUAGGCAGCUAGUGCUGUAAUUUAGACAAGAGGCAAAAACCCAAGAUGAAAAUCAAACUUAUUUUCACAAGUUAUAGAAGUAAAUCAAACCUGCAUAGGUGCCCAACAAAAUUACUUUGUCUUACUGAAGGAGAAGGGAACAGUGUAGACUCUAUAGAACAAGACUGCCUGGGUUCAGAUUCUAGCUUAGGCUGUGGUAGACCUGGCUUGGACAAGUUGAUUAUCUUUGUUGUCUCAUCUUUAACAGGGUGCUAAUAGUAAUACUUGCCUCUGGAAUAAGGGAAAAAGUGUUUAUGAGGAGUUUAGAAAAGUUUUUUCCAGGCAAUAAUGCUAAUUGUUGUUUUCCUGGCACGUAAAGGAUAUAAACUGGGCAAUGCGGCUAAUGGCCCCUAGAGGACAGCAAAGGAAUAAGAAUAGAAGUGUAAGUGUACAAUGACAGAUUCACAUUCAAUGAGAAAGGUGCCAUGAGUUCUACAAAAAUGGAAGAUGAACUAAGAGCCAUUUAGAGCCUUGUUUGGACUCUUGCUCAUAGUUAAGACACCAGUAUAGACAAAUUAAGGACUUGAAUAAGUCUAGUGAUGAUAAAGAUCCAGGCAGUCAUCUGGGGACACACUUAAAUGGCCAUCAAGUCAGUGCUGGCUGCUGGGGCUGAGGACUUGGAGCUUUGUUUCUUCCCUUGUGACCUGGGCUUCCUCAGUGAGGUAGUUGGGUAACAAGGAUGAGUAUCCUCCUGAGGACAGGGAGAACCAACAUCACAUUUUAUGGCCUAACCUCAAAUGUGAUGUACGUCACUUCUGCCAUGCUCUGAGGAUGUAGCAAAACCCCACCCAGCUUUGAGGGCACAGGAUAUAGACCUCACCUCUUAAUGGAAGAGUUGCAAGGUUCUGGAAAAACAUACAAAAUGGAAAAUAUUAUUCUAUCCAUUUUUGUAGAUCAAAUGUUUUCCCAGAAAUUUCUGCUGGAUUCUUUCUCAUUUUCACACACAAAGCAUCAACAAGUCCUAACAGGCCUGACAGCAAAAUAUACCCCAAACUUGAUCUGUGCUGACGUCACCUCAACACUAUUCCCACCUUAAUCCAUCCCUACCUGGAUUAGAGCAAAGCCUGUGAAGAAGCUUUCUCAUAGCCAAUGUAGCCCAUGUGUCCUAUUAUUUAUAUAUUAGCCAUUGAGAGCUUUGAAAAAAUGUAAAUUUGCUCCUAUCCCCGUUCAUUUUAGAACCAUCCAAUGGCUUCCUAUUAUGCUAAGAAUAAAUGCCUAAUCCCUAAAUGUGACCCCAAAACUCUCCAUAUUUGUGGCCUGUUUACCCUUCUCACUUCUUCUUCAGGCUUCUCCCCCCCACACUCACAGUGUUCUUCCUCUUCUCCCUUAAAUACCUGGGUGUGUCUCUGAUCCCAAAUCUCUUCAUACUCACUCUGUUCCAUUAUUCAGAUCUCUGCUCACAAAGCAUCUUAUCAGACCACCCAACAUAAAAGUGCAUCUACUCAGUCACCUGACCCUCCUUUAUUUUUCUUACUAAUUAUUAUCUGAGAUUAUUA